Molecule: ribosomal RNA, 493 nt
Filed under: uncultured bacterium
Lineage: Bacteria
Description: bacterial SSU rRNA
Rfam family: Bacterial small subunit ribosomal RNA
Source: RNAcentral
AACGAACGCUGGCGGCAGGCUUCAUACAUGCAAGUCGAGCGGAAAGGCCCUUCGGGGGUACUCGAGCGGCGAACGGGUGAGUAACAGGUGGGUAAUCUGCCUUUCGGAGGGGGAUAACGGCUGGAAACGGCCGCUAAUACCCCGUACGGUUGUGAAGCUCUCGGGCUUUGCAAAGAAAGGGGCCUUUAAAGCCCCGCCGAAAGAUGAGCCCGCCCCCCAUUAGCUAGUUGGCGGGGUAAUGGCCCACCAAGGCUGUGAUGGGUAGCCGAGCUGAGAGGUUGAUCGGCCACACUGGAACUGAGACACGGUCCAGACACCUACGGGUGGCAGCAGUAGGGAAUAUUGCGCAAUGGGCGAAAGCCUGACGCAGCCAUGCCGCGUGGAUGAUGAAGGCCUUCGGGUCGUAAAGUCCUUUUCUGAGGGAAGAACUGCCGGGGGAGGAAAUGCCCUUGGCUUGACGGUACCUCAGGAAUAAGCAACGGCUAACUCCGUG